GACAGAGGGUGCAAGCGUUGUUCGGAAUUAUUGGGCGUAAAGCGCGUGUAGGCGGCCUUGCAAGUCGGGUGUGAAAUCCCUCAGCUCAACUGAGGAAGUGCGCCCGAAACUGCAGAGCUUGAAUACCAGAGAGGAUGGCGGAAUUCCCCAAGUAGAGGUGAAAUUCGUAGAGAUGGGGAGGAACACCGGUGGCGAAGGCGGCCAUCUGGCUGGAUAUUGACGCUGAGACGCGAAAGCGUGGAUAGCAAACAGG
Molecule: ribosomal RNA, 253 nt
Filed under: uncultured bacterium
Lineage: Bacteria
Description: partial 16S ribosomal RNA
Rfam family: Bacterial small subunit ribosomal RNA
Source: RNAcentral